Molecule: small nucleolar RNA, 106 nt
Filed under: Cicer arietinum (chickpea)
Lineage: Eukaryota; Viridiplantae; Streptophyta; Magnoliopsida; Fabales; Fabaceae
Description: Plant small nucleolar RNA R71
Rfam family: Plant small nucleolar RNA R71
About the family: R71 is a member of the C/D box family of snoRNAs containing the C (UGAUGA) and D (CUGA) box motifs. Multiple nearly identical copies of this snoRNA have been identified in Arabidopsis, and it is thought to function as a 2'-O-ribose methylation guide for 18S ribosomal RNA.
Source: Rfam by way of RNAcentral
AAGCAUGAUGGGGGCAUCAUGCUAGUAAAUUCUUGAACCUCUUGUAAGUGUCGGGAAAAGAUUCUCCUUCUUUCAGUUUGUAACUGGAAAUCUCUUGCCUCUUUCU